This 497-nucleotide ribosomal RNA is filed under the name uncultured bacterium. RNAcentral describes it as "partial 16S ribosomal RNA". It matches the Rfam family "Bacterial small subunit ribosomal RNA", at positions 28 to 507 of the family's 1533-position model. The record is from RNAcentral.
GAUGAACGCUGGCGGCGUGCCUAAUACAUGCAAGUCGAGCGAACGGACGAGAAGCUUGCUUCUCUGAUGUUAGCGGCGGACGGGUGAGUAACACGUGGAUAACCUACCUAUAAGACUGGGAUAACUUCGGGAAACCGGAGCUAAUACCGGAUAAUAUUUUGAACCGCAUUGUUCAAAAGUGAAAGACGGUCUUUCUGUCACUUAUAGAUGGAUCCGCGCUGCAUUAGCUAGUUGGUAAGUUAACGGCUUACCAAGGCAACGAUGCAUAGCCGACCUGAGAGGGUGAUCGGCGACACUGGAACUGAGACACGGUCCAGACUCCUACGGGAGGCAGCAGUAGGGAAUCUUCCGCAAUGGGCGAAAGCCUGACGCAGCAACGCCGCGUGAGUGAUGAAGGUCUUCGGAUCGUAAAACUCUGUUAUUAGGGAAGAACAUAUGUGUAAGUAACUGUGCACAUCUUGACGGUACCUAAUCAGAAAGCAACGGCUAACUACGUG